This 520-nucleotide ribosomal RNA is filed under the name uncultured bacterium. Its description in RNAcentral is "bacterial SSU rRNA". It matches the Rfam family "Bacterial small subunit ribosomal RNA", at positions 26 to 518 of the family's 1533-position model. The record is from RNAcentral.
AGGACGAACGCUGGCGGCGUGCCUAAUACAUGCAAGUCGAACGGUCUUUCUAUGGAAGCUUGCUUCCACUGAGAAGAUAGUGGCGAACGGGUGAGUAACACGUGGGUAACCUGCCCAUAAGAGGGGGAUAACAUCCGGAAACGGGUGCUAAUACCGCAUAGUUUUUCUUGAUCGCAUGAUUGAGAAAGGAAAGACGGCCUUUGUGCUGUCGCUUAUGGAUGGACCCGCGGCGUAUUAGUUAGUUGGUGAGGUAACGGCUCACCAAGACGAUGAUACGUAGCCGACCUGAGAGGGUGAUCGGCCACAUUGGGACUGAGACACGGCCCAAACUCCUACGGGAGGCAGCAGUAGGGAAUCUUCCGCAAUGGACGAAAGUCUGACGGAGCAACGCCGCGUGAGUGAAGAAAGGUUUUCGGAUCGUAAAACUCUGUUGUCAGAGAAGAACAAGUUGGAGAGUAACUGCUCCAGCCUUGACGGUAUCUGACCAGAAAGCCACGGCUAACUACGUGCCAGCCGCGGC